UGGGGAAUAUUGGACAAUGGGCGAAAGCCUGAUCCAGCCAUGCCGCGUGUGUGAAGAAGGUCUUCGGAUUGUAAAGCACUUUAAGUUGGGAGGAAGGGCAUUAACCUAAUACGUUAGUGUUUUGACGUUACCGACAGAAUAAGCACCGGCUAACUCUGUGCCAGCAGCCGCGGUAAUACAGAGGGUGCAAGCGUUAAUCGGAAUUACUGGGCGUAAAGCGCGCGUAGGUGUUUUUUUAAGUUGGAUGUGAAAUCCCCGGGCUCAACCUGGGAACUGCAUUCAAAACUGACUGACUAGAGUAUGGUAGAGGGUGGUGGAAUUUCCUGUGUAGCGGUGAAAUGCGUAGAUAUAGGAAGGAACACCAGUGGCGAAGGCGACCACCUGGACUAAUACUGACACUGAGGUGCGAAAGCGUGGGGAGCAAACA
This 427-nucleotide ribosomal RNA is filed under the name uncultured bacterium. RNAcentral's name for it is "partial 16S ribosomal RNA". It matches the Rfam family "Bacterial small subunit ribosomal RNA", at positions 355 to 774 of the family's 1533-position model. The record is from RNAcentral.